GUGUCAGCAGCCGCGGUAAUACCGGCAGCCCAAGUGAUGGCCGAUCUUAAUGGGCCUAAAGCGUCUGUAGCUGGCCACGCAAGUCCAUCGGGAAAUCCACGUGCCCAACAGGUGGGCGCCCGGUAGAAACUGCGUGGCUUGGGACCGGAAGGCGCGACGGGUACCUCCGGGGUAGGAGUGAAAUGCCGUAAUCCUGGACGGACCGCCGAUGGCGAAAGCACGUCGCGAGAACGGAUCCGACAGUGAGGGACGAAAGCCAGGGUCUCGAACCGGAUUAGAAACCCCAGUAGUCC
RNAcentral lists this ribosomal RNA (293 nucleotides) under uncultured prokaryote. RNAcentral's name for it is "partial 16S ribosomal RNA". It matches the Rfam family "Archaeal small subunit ribosomal RNA", at positions 455 to 747 of the family's 1478-position model. The record is from RNAcentral.